Long non-coding RNA from Zea mays, 283 nucleotides. RefSeq lists it as uncharacterized. The transcript has 3 exons. Lineage: Eukaryota; Viridiplantae; Streptophyta; Magnoliopsida; Poales; Poaceae. The record is from RefSeq and is a predicted model, not a curated record.
CAUUUAUGUGAUGUAUCCACUCUAACAGGAUUUCCAGAAGGACAUAGUUAGAGCAGCUGAAGGUUUGGUGUCUAUUGGAAACAAACAUAUUGAAGUGGGAACAAAAUUUUCUGAGGACUGCUAUAGAUAUGGAAGCGAAAAUAAUGCAAGCGACGAAGCCCUUAGAAAAGCAGCAUCACUAUACGGAGGUGCUUUGAGAAAUAUUGAGAAAGAGUAUGAAGAUUUCAACAGAAUUUUAUCUUCUCAGACUAUAGACCCAUUGAGAGCAAUGGCUAUAGCAGGA